UUUGAUGAGAAGGUGACUUUCUGUCCCUAAACUGUGCAGGAUCGGCAACACUCGCUCCUGAUAGUGCAGAGGACGCUCUGGGGAGGGAGAGAGAGAAAGAGAGAGAGAGAGAUUAAGAGAGAGAGAGAGAGAGAGAGAGAGAGAGAGAGAGAGAGAGAGAGAGAGAGAGAGAGAGAGAGAGAGAGAGAGAGAGAGAGAGAGAGAGAGAGAGA
Long non-coding RNA from Tachysurus fulvidraco (yellow catfish), 212 nucleotides. RefSeq lists it as uncharacterized. NCBI's taxonomy places the organism in Eukaryota, Metazoa, Chordata, Actinopteri, Siluriformes, Bagridae. The transcript is spliced from 2 exons. The record is from RefSeq and is a predicted model, not a curated record.